This 155-nucleotide unclassified non-coding RNA is filed under the name uncultured Basidiomycota. RNAcentral's name for it is "sequence contains ITS1". Lineage: Eukaryota; Fungi; Basidiomycota. The record is from RNAcentral.
UUGAAUGUAGUGUGUCUCUGGCCUUUACCGGACAGGACACCAUCACACAUCCAUAACACCUGUGCACUGUUGGACACUCUUACAUUCGUGUAGAAGUGUUCACUUUCAUACCUAAACAUUCUUGUAACAAAUGUAGUCUUAUUAUAACAAUAAUA